This 557-nucleotide ribosomal RNA is filed under the name Wickerhamiella cf. pararugosa EVN 1238. RNAcentral's name for it is "eukaryotic LSU rRNA". It matches the Rfam family "Eukaryotic large subunit ribosomal RNA", at positions 56 to 619 of the family's 3401-position model. Lineage: Eukaryota; Fungi; Ascomycota; Dipodascomycetes; Dipodascales; Trichomonascaceae. The record is from RNAcentral.
GAAAGAAACCAACAGGGAUUCCCUUAGUAGCGGCGAGUGAACAGGGAAAAGCUCAAAUUUGAAAUCUGCCAACAGGCCGAGUUGUAAUUUGUAGAUGGCUACACUGCGAAUAGUAUCUUGCUCAAGUUUCUUUGGAAAAAGACAUCAUGGAGGGUGACAAUCCCGUGAGGCAUGUAUAUUAGGAGCGAUUAGUGAGCUUUCUAAGAGUCGAGUUGUUUGGGAAUGCAGCUCAAAGUGCGUGGUGAAUACCAUGUAAAGCUAAAUAUAGACGAGAGACCGAUAGCGAACAAGUACUGUGAAGGAAAGAUGAAAAGCACUCCGAAAGGAGAGUGAAAUAGUACGUGAAAUUGUUAGAGUGGAAGGGCUUGAGAUCAGAAUUGGCGGUGUGGGUUCCACGUCCUCUCGGGGGCGUGUACUCCCUAUCAGCCGGGCCAGGGUGAGUUUUGCCUCUCGGAUAAAGAGUAUUGGAAUGUAGCAGCUUGUCUGUAUUAUAGACUUUACUGUAUACGGGACGGCGGGACUGAGGAAUAAAAAGGAUUUUUUCUUUUCUGUGAUUC